RNAcentral lists this ribosomal RNA (618 nucleotides) under Scaptomyza undulata. Its description in RNAcentral is "partial 16S ribosomal RNA". It matches the Rfam family "Bacterial large subunit ribosomal RNA", at positions 1895 to 2760 of the family's 2925-position model. Lineage: Eukaryota; Metazoa; Arthropoda; Insecta; Diptera; Drosophilidae. The record is from RNAcentral.
UUAAAGUCUAACCUGCCCACUGAAAUUUUUAAAUGGCCGCAGUAUUCUAACUGUGCAAAGGUAGCAUAAUCAUUAGUCUUUUAAUUGAAGGCUGGAAUGAAUGGUUGGACGAAAUAUUAACUGUUUCAUUUAAAUUUUUAUAGAAUUUUAUUUUUUAGUCAAAAAGCUAAAAUUUAUUUAAAAGACGAGAAGACCCUAUAAAUCUUUAUAUUUUGUUUAUUUUAACUAUAAAGAUUACUUUUUUUAUAAUAAGUUAAAAUAUUUUAUUGGGGUGAUAUUAAAAUUUAAAAAACUUUUAAUUUUUAAAACCAUUAAUAUAUGAUUAAUUGAUCCAUUUAUAAUGAUUAAAAAUUUAAGUUACUUUAGGGAUAACAGCGUAAUUUUUUUGGAGAGUUCAUAUCGAUAAAAAAGAUUGCGACCUCGAUGUUGGAUUAAGAUAUAAUUUUGGGUGUAGCCGUUCAAAUUUUAAGUCUGUUCGACUUUUAAAUUCUUACAUGAUCUGAGUUCAAACCGGUGUAAGCCAGGUUGGUUUCUAUCUUUAAAAAAUUAAAAUAUUUUAGUACGAAAGGACCAAAUAUUAAAAUAAUUAUAUUUUAUACAAGAAUAUUAUUAAUUUAA